GACCACAAACCGGUGGGCUGCGCCUGCGCCAUUGGGCAUGCCGGCGGCGACGCAGGGACUGCUUGCGACCACGGUGGUGGACUGGAAGCUUGACGAGCUAUGCGCCUGCCUCGACGACGCGCUGUCGUCCAGGAAGCGGAGCCUCUACACGGAGGAGCGGCUCCGCGCGAUGAUCGACGCGAAGACCGACUUCGUCCGGUCGCUCCUGUCCUCCGUGGCGGAGUGCAACGGCGGGGCGCUCCCGGAGCACCUGGCCGAGGCCGAGGCACGCUUUGCUGUCCUCGCGGCCACGUACGAUCGUUGGGCGCGGCGCGCAGUCGCUGCACCUGAACCAUUGCCAGGAGACGACGGAGGAGGACGCCAAGCGCGACGCCGUGGAAGCCCGCGCCAACAAGGAGGGGGCGUUGGAUGGCAUCGCCGAGGAGUCGAGGACAACGACGCCGAGUGCGAGACCGCGGAAAUACGCAGGAGGGAGGCGGCGGAUACGGUUACCAAGAAGCGGGAGGCCGCGGGAACAAGCGAGGAGUUGAUGCGCGACAUCGAUCGAGAGGCCGCGGUGGAGGCGGGAAGGGGGGCCGUGCAGCGUCGCUGGUGGAGGAAGUGCGGCUGCGGUGCUUCCUGGUGCCGUGCGGCUGGCGUGGUGGUCGCGGUCUUGUUGGCUUUGGAAUUGGCCGCCGUGCAGUGCUGAGGUCCUCUUGAUCUCUUGUUUUGCUGUAAAACUUGCUUCGACAGUCAAGCUGUUGGCUACUUACAUUCUGAGAACCAUGUUUGGUUGUGAGGUUUAUUUUCAAAAAUUUUGUGCGUUUAUGUAACUCUAAAUUGCAGGUUCCUGACAACCUUUAUACUUCUAGAUACAGUAUUGUGUGCUAAAGAG
This is an RNA transcript of Zea mays, 874 nucleotides long. RefSeq lists it as uncharacterized. NCBI's taxonomy places the organism in Eukaryota, Viridiplantae, Streptophyta, Magnoliopsida, Poales, Poaceae. The record is from RefSeq and is a predicted model, not a curated record. The transcript has a single exon.